This 502-nucleotide ribosomal RNA is filed under the name uncultured Glomeromycotina. Its description in RNAcentral is "partial small subunit ribosomal RNA". It matches the Rfam family "Eukaryotic small subunit ribosomal RNA", at positions 591 to 1092 of the family's 1831-position model. The record is from RNAcentral. Lineage: Eukaryota; Fungi; Glomeromycota.
CCAAUAGCGUAUAUUAAAGUUGUUGCAGUUAAAAGGCUCGUAGUUGAACUUCGGGGUCUACCCAUUGGUCAGGCUUAAUUGUCUGCACUGGUGAGAUGGAUCUCUACCUUCUGAGGAACUUUCAUGCCAUUUAUUUGGUGUGAUGGGAAAUCAGGACUGUUACUUUGAAAAAAUUAGAGUGUUUAAAGCAGACUAUCGUCUGAAUACAUUAGCAUGGAAUAAUGAAAUAGGACGGACUGAUUCUAUUUCGUUGGUUUCUAGGAUCACCGUAAUGAUUAAUAGGGAUAGUUGGGGGCAUUAGUAUUCAAUUGUCAGAGUUGAAAUUCUUGGAUUUAUUGAAGACUAACUACUGCGAAAGCAUUUGCCAAGGAUGUUUUCAUUAAUCAAGAACGAAAGUUAGGGGAUCGAAGACGAUCAGAUACCGUCGUAGUCUUAACCAUAAACUAUGCCGACUAGGGAUCGGAUGAUGUUAAUUUUAUAAUGACUCAUUCGGCGCCUUACG